RNAcentral lists this ribosomal RNA (468 nucleotides) under uncultured bacterium. RNAcentral's name for it is "partial 16S ribosomal RNA". It matches the Rfam family "Bacterial small subunit ribosomal RNA", at positions 28 to 507 of the family's 1533-position model. The record is from RNAcentral.
GACGAACGCUGGCGGCGUGCUUAACACAUGCAAGUCGAACGGAAAGGCCCUGCUUUUGUGGGGUGCUCGAGUGGCGAACGGGUGAGUAACACGUGAGUAACCUGCCCCUGACUUUGGGAUAACUUCAGGAAACUGGGGCUAAUACCGGAUAGGAGCUCCUGCUGCAUGGUGGGGGUUGGAAAGUUUCGGCGGUUGGGGAUGGACUCGCGGCUUAUCAGCUUGUUGGUGGGGUAGUGGUUUACCAAGGCUUUGACGGGUAGCCGGCCUGAGAGGGUGACCGGCCACAUUGGGACUGAGAUACGGCCCAGACUCCUACGGGAGGCAGCAGUGGGGAAUAUUGCACAAUGGGCGGAAGCCUGAUGCAGCAACGCCGCGUGCGGGAUGACGGCCUUCGGGUUGUAAACCGCUUUCGCCUGUGACGAAGCGUGAGUGACGGUAAUGGGUAAAGAAGCACCGGCUAACUACGUG